RNAcentral lists this ribosomal RNA (871 nucleotides) under uncultured euryarchaeote. RNAcentral describes it as "bacterial SSU rRNA". It matches the Rfam family "Archaeal small subunit ribosomal RNA", at positions 1 to 879 of the family's 1478-position model. The record is from RNAcentral. Lineage: Archaea; Methanobacteriati; Methanobacteriota.
UUCCGGUUGAUCCCGCCGGACCUGACUGCUAUCGGAUUGAUACUAAGCCAUGCGAGUCAUUGUAGUAAUACAAGGCAGACGGCUCAGUAACGCGUAGUCAACCUAACCUAUGGACGGGGAUAACCUCGGGAAACUGAGAAUAAUACCCGAUAGAACAUUAUGCCUGGAAUGGUUUAUGUUUCAAAUAAUUUAUUGCCGUAGGAUGGGACUGCGGCCUAUCAGUUUGUUGGUGAGGUAAUGGCCCACCAAGACUAUUACAGGUACGGGCUCUGAGAGGAGUAGCCCGGAGAUGGGUACUGAGACACGGACCCAGGCCCUAUGGGGCGCAGCAGGCGAGAAAACUUUGCAAUGUGCGAAAGCACGACAAGGUUAAUCCGAGUGGUUUCUGCUAAAGGAACCUUUUGCCAGUCCUAGAAACACUGGUGAAUAAGGGGUGGGCAAGUUCUGGUGUCAGCCGCCGCGGUAAAACCAGCACCUCAAGUGGUCAGGAUGAUUAUUGGGCCUAAAGCAUCCGUAGCCUGCUUUGUUAGUUUUCGGUUAAAUCCAUUCGCUCAACGAAUGGGCUGCCGGGAAUACUGCAAAGCUAGGGAGUGGGAGAGGUAGACGGUACUCGGUAGGAAGGGGUAAAAUCCUUUGAUCUAUUGAUGACCACCUGUGGCGAAGGCGGUCUACCAGAACACGUCCGACGGUGAGGGAUGAAAGCUGGGGGAGCAAACCGGAUUAGAUACCCGGGUAGUCCCAGCUGUAAACUAUGCAAACUCAGUGAUGCAUUGGCUUGAUGCCAAUGCAGUGCUGCAGGGAAGCCGUUAAGUUUGCCGCCUGGGAAGUACGUACGCAAGUAUGAAACUUAAAGGAAUUGGCGGGGCAGCAC